Non-coding RNA from Bos taurus (domestic cattle), 73 nucleotides. The record is from Rfam. NCBI's taxonomy places the organism in Eukaryota, Metazoa, Chordata, Mammalia, Artiodactyla, Bovidae.
UCCCUGAUGGUCCAGUGGUUAGGACUCUGCACUUCCACUGCUGAGGGUGUGGGUUCAAUCCCUGGUCAGGGAA